Gadus macrocephalus (Pacific cod) is the source of this 1532-nucleotide long non-coding RNA. RefSeq lists it as uncharacterized. Lineage: Eukaryota; Metazoa; Chordata; Actinopteri; Gadiformes; Gadidae. The transcript is spliced from 3 exons. The record is from RefSeq and is a predicted model, not a curated record.
GGUUGGAUAGUUCAGGAAUUGGGCUUCUUUUUAUUGUGGGCAGUCCUUUCACUCAGAUGCCCACAUCUCACUGGACCUGUACAUGUGUUGGCUGGCUGGCAUGAGUUGCUGUUGGUGAUGAGGCGGUCAGGGUGACGUUGCAGGGCUAUGGUCGGCUCUCUGAGCUCAACGUUUAGAUUUGCUCUGCAUGGUUUGUACCCUGAAUAAUCUAGAUAAUUGUAAAAUGUACAGGGUUUUGUAUUGAAUGAUUUUAGGUUUAAAGUUGUUGUGGGUCGUACAUGGUAGUUUGGUUCUUCGUACGGUUUUGAGUGAUAUAACUUGUACACACUGGGUGCAUAAUAAUGUAAAGGUACACUGAAUAUUAAUGACCAACAGCAACAAACAGAUCACAUCAAGGUAAGUCUGUUGGCUGUGUUUUAAUGAAGACCAUCGCUGGACUUCAGGAUCUUCCUCCGUUCAGCUCAAGGUGAGGCGCUGGUUCCGUUUUUUCUUUGGUUGGUUCCGGCCGGAAUGUUCGUAUUCCAGUCGGACAGUUUGUGCUUCCCGCCGUGGAAGGUUCUGAGUGCGGUCACUUAUUUAGUCCCAAUGGUUAGCAUAGAACGUUGUAGCCUUGACAACCAUAAGAAACCACCUGGCAGUUAGUUGGACGGGAGUCCCCUGAGGGAUUCUGGCGGAACGUUCUGGAUUGUAUUUGCGUAACCUCGAGCCGUUGCCAACGGAAACUAUUUUUCAGUCUUUUCCAUUGGGAAUUGUUGUCCCUUAUCUUAAACUUAAUUUUGAUAUUAAAUACAUACUGACACGUACGUCGUACAAUAUGUUGAUAAUUUCCGAUGGUUGCGCCGUACUUUUAACCACGUUGACGUGAAGGGACUCUCGCUGCGUACUAAACAGCGUUCUACUUGCGGGCCCAUUUUGGUGAAGGCUGAAAAUCAUUUCAAGGUGGAAGACAAUUUGACAUUUCUUCAACGGAACCCAGCACCUGAAUAUGGCUGAGUUGAGUAUAUUUGGUUUAACAUCGAUACGGCUUAGUGUUCUUUGUUCAGCUUUUGUACGUUCUAAAUAUCUGCUGUCAUUAAUUGCCACAGAAGUUAAACCCUACCCAAUGGAAUGACGUUAAACAACGACUUUGGUGCAGAGUUACCAACGGGAUAAUAUCAAAGCUAAAAUAAUGGCCGUCCUUCCCACAUGUUACAGUAGAAGAUACUCUAGAACUGUACAAGGUUAAAAAGGUAACAUGUAGUUUGUCCCAAGGUGUCUGCCUCCUCACCCAGAGCCAGAACGCCACCUCCUGUCAGAAGUCCUCCAGAACAGCUGAAAGGUGAGGCUGGGUACCGGAGGCUUGUGGUGCCAGGAUGGACCGGAGACUGAGGCUGGAGACCAGGGGCCUGCAGCGCCGGGCCAGAGGACCAGGAAUCCAUGGCUGAAGGAGCUGAUGGAGGAGCCGUGCUGAAGGAGCUGAUGGAGUCGUGCUGAAGGCCCUGCCUGGUUGAGGAGCUGGUGGAGGCCCUGCCUGGUGAAGGAGGCCCUGCCUG